GACGAACGCUGGCGGCGUGCUUAACACAUGCAAGUCGAACGGAAAGGCCCUGCUUUUGUGGGGUGCUCGAGUGGCGAACGGGUGAGUAACACGUGAGUAACCUGCCCUUGACUUUGGGAUAACUUCAGGAAACUGGGGCUAAUACCGGAUAGGAGCUCCUGCUGCAUGGUGGGGGUUGGAAAGUUUCGGCGGUUGGGGAUGGACUCGCGGCUUAUCAGCUUGUUGGUGGGGGAGUGGCUUACCAAGGCUGUGACGGGUAGCCGGCCUGAGAGGGUGACCGGCCACAUUGGGACUGAGAUACGGCCCAGACUCCUACGGGAGGCAGCAGUGGGGAAUAUUGCACAAUGGGCGGAAGCCUGAUGCAGCAACGCCGCGUGCGGGAUGACGGCCUUCGGGUUGUAAACCGCUUUCGCCUGUGACGAAGCGUGAGUGACGGUAAUGGGUAAAGAAGCACCGGCUAACUACGUG
RNAcentral lists this ribosomal RNA (468 nucleotides) under uncultured bacterium. RNAcentral describes it as "partial 16S ribosomal RNA". It matches the Rfam family "Bacterial small subunit ribosomal RNA", at positions 28 to 507 of the family's 1533-position model. The record is from RNAcentral.